UCGGGAAUUUUGGGCAAUGGGCGAAAGCCUGACCCAGCAACGCCGCGUGAAGGAUGAAGUAUUUCGGUAUGUAAACUUCGAAAGAAUAGGAAGAAUAAAUGACGGUACUAUUUAUAAGCUCCGGCUAACUACGUGCCAGCAGCCGCGGUAAUACGUAGGGAGCAAGCGUUGUUCGGAUUUACUGGGCGUAAAGGGCGCGUAGGCGGCGCGGUAAGUCACUUGUGAAAUCUCUGAGCUUAACUCAGAACGGCCAAGUGAUACUGCAGUGCUAGAGUGCAGAAAGGGCAAUCGGAAUUCUUGGUGUAGCGGUGAAAUGCGUAGAUAUCAAGAGGAACACCUGAGGCGAAGGCGGGUUGCUAGGCUGACACUGACGCUGGAGCGCGAAAGCCAGGGGAGCAAACGGGAUUAGAUACCCCUGUAGUCC
RNAcentral lists this ribosomal RNA (424 nucleotides) under uncultured bacterium. Its description in RNAcentral is "bacterial SSU rRNA". It matches the Rfam family "Bacterial small subunit ribosomal RNA", at positions 355 to 796 of the family's 1533-position model. The record is from RNAcentral.